UGAGCAACCUGCCCUUCAGAGGGGGACAACAGUUGGAAACGACUGCUAAUACCGCAUAACAUAUCCGGGAGGCAUCUCCUGGAUAUCAAAGAUUUAUCGCUGAAGGAUGGGCUCAUGUCUGAUUAGCUAGUUGGUGGGGUAACGGCCCACCAAGGCUGCGAUCAGUAGCCGGUCUGAGAGGAUGAACGGCCACAUUGGGACUGAGAUACGGCCCAGACUCCUACGGAAGGCAGCAG
RNAcentral lists this ribosomal RNA (236 nucleotides) under uncultured bacterium. RNAcentral's name for it is "partial 16S ribosomal RNA". It matches the Rfam family "Bacterial small subunit ribosomal RNA", at positions 118 to 354 of the family's 1533-position model. The record is from RNAcentral.